UAGGGAAUAUUAGUAAUGGGCGCAAGCCUGAACUAGCAACGCCGCGUGUGCGAAGAAGGCCUUCGGGUUGUAAAGCACUUUUUGAGAGGAUGAGGAAGGACGGUACUCUCAGAAUAAGUCUCGGCUAACUACGUGCCAGCAGCCGCGGUAACACGUAGGAGGCAAACGUUAUCCGGAUUUACUGGGCGUAAAGCGCGUGUAGGUGGUUUGGUAAGUAGGGCGUGAAAGCUCCUGGCUCAACUGGGAGAGGACGUUCUAACCUGCCGAGCUUGAGGAUGGUGGAGGGAGGGGGAAU
RNAcentral lists this ribosomal RNA (295 nucleotides) under uncultured bacterium. Its description in RNAcentral is "partial 16S ribosomal RNA". It matches the Rfam family "Bacterial small subunit ribosomal RNA", at positions 355 to 667 of the family's 1533-position model. The record is from RNAcentral.